GACGAACGCUGGCGGCGUGCCUAACACAUGCAAGUCGAACGGAACUGUUUUGAAAGCUUUCUGCGGAAUGAAUAUGAUAUAGUUUAGUGGCGGACGGGUGAGUAACGCGUGAGUAACCAGCCUUCAAGAGGGGAAUAACAUUCUGAAAAGAAUGCUAAUACCGCAUGACAUAGCGGAACCACAUGGUUUUGAUAUCAAAGAUUCUAUCGCUUGAAGAUGGGCUCGCGCGCGUUUUGGUAGUGGGAGAGGUAACGGCACACCAAGACCGCGAUCGGUAGCCGGACUGUGAGGUUGGACAGCCACCUUGGGACUGAGCGACGGCCCGGACUCCUACGGGAGGCAGCAGUGGGGGAUAUUGCGCGAUGGGAGCAAGCCUGACGCAGCACCGCCGCGUGAAGGAUGACGGUUUUCGGAUUGUAGACUUCUUUUAUUAAGGACGAAAAAUGACGGUACUUAAUGAAUAAGCUCCGGCUAACUACGUG
RNAcentral lists this ribosomal RNA (482 nucleotides) under uncultured bacterium. RNAcentral describes it as "partial 16S ribosomal RNA". It matches the Rfam family "Bacterial small subunit ribosomal RNA", at positions 28 to 507 of the family's 1533-position model. The record is from RNAcentral.